Molecule: ribosomal RNA, 360 nt
Filed under: Salmonella enterica subsp. enterica serovar Typhimurium
Lineage: Bacteria; Pseudomonadati; Pseudomonadota; Gammaproteobacteria; Enterobacterales; Enterobacteriaceae
Description: partial 23S ribosomal RNA
Rfam family: Bacterial large subunit ribosomal RNA
Source: RNAcentral
GAUUCGUCACACUAUCAUUAACUGAAUCCAUAGGUUAAUGAGGCGAACCGGGGGAACUGAAACAUCUAAGUACCCCGAGGAAAAGAAAUCAACCGAGAUUCCCCCAGUAGCGGCGAGCGAACGGGGAGGAGCCCAGAGCCUGAAUCAGCAUGUGUGUUAGUGGAAGCGUCUGGAAAGGCGCGCGAUACAGGGUGACAGCCCCGUACACAAAAGCGCAUGUGCUGUGAGCUCGAUGAGUAGGGCGGGACACGUGGUAUCCUGUCUGAAUAUGGGGGGACCAUCCUCCAAGGCUAAAUACUCCUGACUGACCGAUAGUGAACCAGUACCGUGAGGGAAAGGCGAAAAGAACCCCGGCGAGGG